RNAcentral lists this ribosomal RNA (167 nucleotides) under uncultured bacterium. RNAcentral describes it as "partial 16S ribosomal RNA". It matches the Rfam family "Bacterial small subunit ribosomal RNA", at positions 1334 to 1500 of the family's 1533-position model. The record is from RNAcentral.
GCUAGUAAUCGCGGAUCAGCAUGCCGCGGUGAAUACGUUCCCGGGCCUUGUACACACCGCCCGUCACACCAUGAGAGUCGGGAACACCCGAAGUCCGUAGUCUGACCGCAAGGGGGACGCGGCCGAAGGUGGGUUCGAUAAUUGGGGUGAAGUCGUAACAAGGUAUC